CUGGUGUUGAAGGCCCUGCAAAGCAGCAUCGCGGUGGCGGAGCGUCGUUUGCGACGCCCAACACACAAAACAAGCGGUGAAUGCUUUGGGGUGGGGUGACUGCGUACCUUUUGUAUAAUGGGUCAGCGACUUAUAUUCUGUAGCAAGGUUAACCGAAUAGGGGAGCCGGAGGGAAACCGAGUCUUAAUUGGGCGUUAAGUUGCAGGGUAUAGACCCGAAACCCGGUGAUCUAGCCAUGGGCAGGUUGAAGGUUGGGUAACACUAACUGGAGGACCGAACCGACUAAUGUUGAAAAAUUAGCGGAUGACCUGUGGCUGGGGGUGAAAGGCCAAUCAAACCGGGAGAUAGCUGGUUCUCCCCGAAAGCUAUUUAGGUAGCGCCUCGUGAAUUCAUCUCCGGGGGUAGAGCACUGUUUCGGCUAGGGGGCCAUCCCGGCUUACCAACCCGAUGCAAACUGCGAAUACCGGAGAAUGUUAUCACGGGAGACACACGGCGGGUGCUAACGUCCGUCGUGAAGAGGGAAACAACCCAGACCGCCAGCUAAGGUCCCAAAGUCAUGGUUAAGUGGGAAACGAUGUGGGAAGGCCCAGACAGCCAGGAUGUUGGCUUAGAAGCAGCCAUCAUUUAAAGAAAGCGUAAUAGCUCACUGGUCGAGUCGGCCUGCGCGGAAGAUGUAACGGGGCUAAACCAUGCACCGAAGCUGCGGCAGCGAACGUAUCACCCAAGACAACUUUACGGAGUUGACGAUUGACGGAGCGAAGCGACGUCAAAGCGUUCAUUAAAGUCGAGUUGGCUUAGGGAUACGUUCGUUGGGUAGGGGAGCGUUCUGUAAGCCUGUGAAGGUGUGUCGUGAGGCAUGCUGGAGGUAUCAGAAGUGCGAAUGCUGACAUAAGUAACGAUAAAGCGGGUGAAAAGCCCGCUCGCCGGAAGACCAAGGGUUCCUGUCCAACGUUAAUCGGGGCAGGGUGAGUCGACCCCUAAGGCGAGGCCGAAAGGCGUAGUCGAUGGGAAACGGGUUAAUAUUCCCGUACUUGGUGUUACUGCGAAGGGGGGACGGAGAAGGCUAUGUUGGCCGGGCGACGGUUGUCCCGGUUUAAGCGUGUAGGUGUGUGUUCCAGGUAAAUCCGGUUCACUUUAACACUGAGGCGUGACGACGAGGCACUACGGUGCUGAAGCAACAAAUGCCCUGCUUCCAGGAAAA
RNAcentral lists this ribosomal RNA (1201 nucleotides) under Salmonella enterica subsp. enterica serovar Typhimurium. Its description in RNAcentral is "partial 23S ribosomal RNA". It matches the Rfam family "Bacterial large subunit ribosomal RNA", at positions 566 to 1616 of the family's 2925-position model. The record is from RNAcentral. Lineage: Bacteria; Pseudomonadati; Pseudomonadota; Gammaproteobacteria; Enterobacterales; Enterobacteriaceae.